Molecule: long non-coding RNA, 1282 nt
Organism: Perognathus longimembris pacificus (Pacific pocket mouse)
Lineage: Eukaryota; Metazoa; Chordata; Mammalia; Rodentia; Heteromyidae
Exons: 2
Source: RefSeq, a predicted model, not a curated record
UUACCUAAUGCUGUAUUUUGAAAAGUAUAAAAAUGCCAUGAAACUAAUGGCAGAGGUGUCUCUGCAUCGUAAAGCCGUUUACUGUUACUUAAACUUUCAGGUCUACAAACAAGAACAAGAGGAAGAAUUAAAGAAAAAAUUGGCAAAUGACCCUCGAUGGAAGAGAUACCGGAGAUGGAUGAAGAAUGAGGGCCCUGGGCGGCUCACAUUUGUGGAUGACUAAAGACGGCCAGAAGCCAAAGGCCAGCAUCUGCUCACCUUCAUUGUGAUGUGCUUCCCAUAACAAAUGUACCAGCUGUUUCUCAGCAGUAACCGAAAUUUGCCAAAUACUUGAUUAAACAGAAUAAUGUAGAAACGUUUCAGCCUUCCCUUCAAACUUUAUACCUAAGACAUUUAUGAAGCUCAAUUUUUAUAAUCUCGUUGUGAAUUUGUUAAAAGAUUUGACAUGAGAAUUUAUUAGUUGCCAUUAAAAAUUUUAUAUGUUUAGUUACAAUUUUUGACAUGAAAAUUUCUUAGAUACCAUUUAAACAUUUUGUGUCUUAAGUGUUUGUUCUUUAAUACGAGUGUUUCCUUAUUGGUCAUACAUUUUUCUGCUUUAAUGGCCUCUAUAUUUUCACAAAAUGGAAGGAAACAAUAGCAGCAUUUAACUAUAUUAUCGUGUCUUUCUGGACACAUUUCUUUAGUAGAAUUUUUCAACACUCAUGUUGUCUUCCUAAGUCAUUAUAGGAUUGAGUAUAUUCAAAACAACCUCUCAAGGAGAGUCUUUUGCUAGGACUCCUGCUGUCUCACCGCCCCAUAAUCUCAGCACUCGUGCUAAGAUCCGAGGCUCUCCACGAGAGUAGUCUACCCUCUGUCCUUGUAGGAUGAUCUCAUUACAGUCUCAUUUAUAGGACUAAACUGUAUGUGCAAAAUUUCUGCAGAAGGGAACCUAUAAAAAACAAUCUUUUGCACCAUAGGAUUGGUCUUUUUUUUUUUUUUUUAAAUCCUCUCACAAGAACAGAAAAAAUAUACUGGGAAGUUGUUCAUAUAAAGUUCUUAAGUGGUGAAAAUUCCAUUGUACAUGAGAGCAUUUACAUGCAUUUAAACUAGAAAGAAAAUAUGCAUGUCUGUGUGCUGUUCUCUCACCCACUGAAAUAUAUAAAUGUUUUUAUACCUGUGGAAAAGCAAAUGAAACAUUUUGACUGAAUCACACAUGGUACGGCACCUGAGUAUUAAUAAUCCGUCAUGGUAGUGAAUCAGUAUUCCUACUGUUCCAUCUUAAUAAAAUGGUUGCAAUAUGUCA